CAGAAAAUAGUUUAAUAAAAAUAUUAAUUUUGGAGAUUAAUGAUAGAAUAAGUAUUUUUUUUCUGA
RNAcentral lists this transfer RNA (66 nucleotides) under Onthophagus longimanus. Its description in RNAcentral is "tRNA-Pro". Lineage: Eukaryota; Metazoa; Arthropoda; Insecta; Coleoptera; Scarabaeidae. The record is from RNAcentral.